CAGUAGCCGCGGGAAAACGUAGGUGGCAAGCGUUGUCCGGAAUUAUUGGGCGUAAAGGGCUCGCAGGCGGUUUCUUAAGUCUGAUGUGAAAGCCCCCGGCUCAACCGGGGAGGGUCACUGGAAACUGGGAAACUUGAGUGCAGAAGAGGAGAGUGGAAUUCCACGUGUAGCGGUGAAAUGCGUAGAGAUGUGGAGGAGCACCAGUGGCGAAGGCGACUCUCUGGUCUGUAACUGACGCUGAGGAGCGAAAGCGUGGGGAGCGAACAGGAUUAGAUACCCCGGUAGUCCCUGUCUCUUAUAC
Molecule: ribosomal RNA, 301 nt
Filed under: uncultured bacterium
Lineage: Bacteria
Description: partial 16S ribosomal RNA
Rfam family: Bacterial small subunit ribosomal RNA
Source: RNAcentral